This 253-nucleotide ribosomal RNA is filed under the name uncultured bacterium. RNAcentral's name for it is "partial 16S ribosomal RNA". It matches the Rfam family "Bacterial small subunit ribosomal RNA", at positions 524 to 776 of the family's 1533-position model. The record is from RNAcentral.
UACGGAGGGUGCAAGCGUUAUCCGGAUUCACUGGGUUUAAAGGGUGCGUAGGUGGAUUAGUAAGUCAGUGGUGAAAUCUCCGAGCUUAACUCGGAAACUGCCAUUGAUACUAUUAGUCUUGAAUUAUCUGGAGGUGAGCGGAAUAUGUCAUGUAGCGGUGAAAUGCUUAGAUAUGACAUAGAACACCAAUUGCGAAGGCAGCUCACUACGGAUAUAUUGACACUGAGGCACGAAAGUGCGGGGAUCAAACAGG